RNAcentral lists this long non-coding RNA (5807 nucleotides) under Gossypium barbadense (sea-island cotton). Its description in RNAcentral is "long non-coding RNA (GBAR_LNC014428)". Lineage: Eukaryota; Viridiplantae; Streptophyta; Magnoliopsida; Malvales; Malvaceae. The record is from RNAcentral.
UUCAACUCUUCACUUUCCAAAAAGCUACUAGCAAGUAACAAAAUGUUGUCUCCCAUCCUCUGCUAAGAAACAAAUCUGCAAGGGAAGCCUAAAUUAACGAUUCCAAACGUCAACCCAACAACGGAUCGGAUCUCCGUCGAUCAUCAUCAGCAAACUUCUUCAAUCAAACAAGUAAAUUAUCCCACCAAGUAGUGUUUCCGGGCAAAAAUCGACAUUCCUGGGCAAUUUGGUGGGCAAGUUGAUUCCUUAUUCUUAGAAUAAACUUAAAUUUACAAUUAUCCAACGAUUUUGCUAUUUGUUUCCCCUCAACAAUAACUGAUCUAUGGACUGACCUAUCGUAUGUUGUGGCUUUCAUUCUUUUGAUGACGGUUUUUGAGUCUCCUUCAACCUCGAGACUGCGAACUCCAACAAGAUAGAAAGAGUUAUCACAUGCUUGCAUACAAUGGCUUCUGCAAAAAAUAGGUCAGUAAUGUUAGAAUUUCUUAUCACUCUGGCCUUUAUUACAACCCCAUCUUCUUUUAUCACAACUAUGCCUAAAAUUGAAUGUUGGCUACAGAAUCGUAAGACGCGUCAAAUUUAGCACGAACCCAUGACCUCUCUAAUAGUUUCCAAAUAGUCAGUUGUUGGUCGUCAUUCCUAGCUCCAACAGUGUUAUGAAUUUUAAAUUCCUCUUAAAAAUGCCUAAUCUAUGUGACCACAUCAGGAGUAUUCUGAGCAACUUUAUCAUGAACCAAUUUGUUUCUAGAAAACCAAAUAGCUCAGAUUGUAAUAAGUGUUAGCUAACGAUUCAAACUAUUCAUGAUUUUGAACAAACUUAUAAACCAAGACUUAAAGUUUUCAUUGUCUCUCAUUGCAGGUCUAUUCAACCCUCAAAGCAUCCUAUAUUUAAUUACCCCUGGGACAGUCACAAAUAAUAGGCCUGUUUGUUUCAACACCGGCCUCACAUCACAAGCAAAUUGUUGUGUCCCUGAGCCUUUUAAUCCACAAAUUAUGAUAGCUAGGAAUAUAGUUGUUAAAAAUCUCCAGUUUAUAAUCUUUACUUUUGAAGGAACUGUAGUGUCCCAUAAGGCUUUAUAGAUAGGUCUAUUAAGAUUGUUACUUCCGAAGCGAAGUUUCUAUAAUUCUUUGUAACCACUUCGAACUAAGUACUCCCUUGUUGGCUCACCUGACCAUGUCAUCCGUCUCUUCAAUUUCAGUUCAAGGAAUUGAGAUGUUGAUGAUAUGCAAGGCAUCAGCAUCACAAAAAAUCUCCCUAAUUAGAGGUACAUUCUAUUGCUUUGUAUCUUGCACAAAGAGAUCAUUUACCAGCAUAAUGUCCUAAUUAAGACAAGGAGUACUAACCAUAUUAUGACCUUCUCCAGAUAGCUAAUUAUCUUCCCAGAUCUGAAUUUGGCUACCAUUACCAAUCUGCCAUUUUGUCCCACUUUUCAACAACCCUCUCGUGGUACAAAUACUAUGCCAAGGUAGUGAAGGGUAAUGACCCAAUCUAGCUUCCAUAAAAGUGGUGUUAGGAUAAUACUUGGCCUUUAAAACAUAUGAAAGUAAUAAACCCUGAUUAGCAAAUAAUCGUCAGCCCCAACGAUCUAGUAAAGCAAUAUUGAACUGACUCAAGCUUCUAAAUCCCAAACCCCUAUUUUUCUUAAGGUCACAAAGGGUAUCCCAAGAACACCAAUGAAUGUCCCUUUCACCAUGUCCUUUUUGCCCCCAAUAUUUUCUAAUAAUAGCUCCCAUCUCCUUACAAAAGGAAUUAGGUAGCAAGAAACAACCAUAGUAUAUGUGAAAAUUACUUUUAAAAUAGACUUAAUAAAAAUUUCUUUCUCAUCCUGUGAUAAUAAGCGAGUACUCUAGUUAUUAAUCCUUAAACGCAAUUGAUCUUUGAGCUUCUAAAACAUCAAUUUCUAAUCACAUCCCACCAUAGUUGGUAAACCCAGAUAGAGCUCAAGAUUACUUGUUACCCUUAUAUCCAAAAUAUUAGUAAUAUGGCCCUACAUAGAAUCCCCAACGUUGCCACUAAAAUAUAUGAGAUAUUUUUCAAAUUUUAACAAUUAUCCAGAAGCCAUCUCGUACUCUUUAAUAAUAGCCUACAUUCUGUAGCUUCCUCAAAGAGGAUGCUAUUGUUGGCAAACAAUAAAUGAGAGAUGCAAGGCCCUCCUCUACAAACAGAGUUACCUGUCAAUACUCCUUCAUUACAAGCCAAUCGCAAUGCAGUCGAUAACCCCUCACUACAAAUAAGAAAAAGGUAGGGGUUAAGAGGGUCUCCCUACCAUAAACCACAAGUUGGUUUUAUCAGAUCUCUGAACCACCCAUUCAUAGCAACAGAAUAUAUAACAGUCAAAACGCAAUACAUGAUGAGAUCUACCCAAUUCUUUCCAAACCCCAUCGCUCUCAUCAUAUCUAUCACAAAAUGUCAUUCGAUUCCAUCGUAUGCUUUGCUCAUAUGGAGCUUUAAAGAAAAAAAAGCCUUUCUUUCUAGCCUAUUUUUGUUUUAGUGCAUGAAGCAUCUCAUAAGCUAUCAAAACAUUAUCAGUAAUCAUCUACCUUAGAAUAAAAGCACUUUGUGCUUCAUUAAUGCACGCACUCAAGACCGUUUGGAACUUAUUAACAAUCAUUUUGGCCACAAUCUUAUAUAAAAUAUUACAUGAGCUUAUCGAUCUAAAAUGUGACAUGUUUCGAGAGUUCUUUAUCUUGGGAAUAAAAACUAUAGUCGUACUAUUAACACAAUCAAUACUAAUAUCCUUUCUCAAAACCCCAAGGCAAAAAUCCACCGCAUCAAAACCAACUAUGUGCCAGUAACUUUGAUAAAAUAGCACAGGCAAACCAUCCAGACCACACGUCUGCGAAGGUGCAUGCUUUUAACAGUAAGUAAAACAUCAUCGACACAGAACUCCACGCAUAAAGUCCAAUUCAUAUUAGAAUUAAUACACCUACUAACACCUGAAAGAAUGUGAGAUGCAUCCAUCCUCCCUUUACUAGUAAACAACCUUUCGAAGUAAGUAAAAGCCAAGGAAUCCAUUUCCAUAGUAUCCAUGGUAAAACCACUACUAGAAUUCUCAAGACCCAUUGUAUUUGUCUUCCUCCAUUGUGAAGCAAAAUUGUGAAAAUAGCUGGUGUUUUUAUCCCCAUACUUCAACCAGUUCACAUGGGCCCUUUGUUCUUAGAUCCUUUUCUCUUUGUUCGUUUCCAAAUUAAUGGCUAAUUUAGUUUCCAUAAUAUCACCUAAAACAUCAUUUUCAGGCUCUAGCUCCAUGAGAUUCUCAAGUUUUUGCUGCAAAGCAUCAAACCAACCAUGUUUUGCUUUUCUUACCUUAGCAUACCAUUUUUUCAAAUGAUUCCCCAACAUUUUCAGACGGUACAGAAGUAACCACUGACUAGCUUUCCAACAAUGUUUAAUCUCAGAUUCACAGUUAUCCUCCAAUAGCCAAGCAGCCUCAAAUCUAAAUCAAUCAAUUUUUCGUCGUCUCAUCAUUAAAACUUUGGUUUGAAUCAUAAUCGGAGAAUGAUCCGAAAUGUUACUCGUAAUAUGUUGUACAUCAUGAUCAGGAAACAUAUGCCACCAACACGGAUUAGCAACCGCUCUCUAUCCAACAGCUCCCGAAUAUUGGUUUCAGAACUUUGCCCUCUUUCCCAUGUAAACUAGGGUCAUUUGAAGCCCAGAUUAGCUAACGAGCAGUCAUCCAAAUCCUGACGAAUUACUCCCGAAUAUUGGUUUCAGAGCUCUACCCUCUUUCCCAUAUAUACUAGGGUCAUUUGAAGCCCAGAUUAGCUAACGAGCAGUCAUCCAAAGCCUGACGAAAUUCUUCUAUUUUACAAUCCCUUCUAGCUCUACCACCUAUUUUUUCAAAAGAAUAAGUGAUUUCAUUUUAAAUUCCCCCAUAACCAUCCAUGCACUGACAUUAUUUUUCCCAAGUUGUCUUAGUAAAUUUCAGGACUCUCUCCUAAACCUUUCAUCUAGAGCUCUAUAAAACCCGGUAAGCCUCAAUUUUUUUACCAUUUCCAUCAUUAGUAAUGUUCACUUUGAUAAAAUGAGAAUGAAAUUCCUCAGUGUUAAUAGAAAAACCACUUUUCCAUCCUAAUGAUAACCCUCCCCUCAGUCCUUCAGUGUCAACAUCAACUCCCUUGUUAAAACCGUAUCUACAUCUAAUAUGUUUCAUAUUUACAUCCAACACUUUAGUCUCAAUUAGGAAACUAAUUUUGGUGUUAUUUUUUUAGCCAAUGCUGAAGUCUAUUAAUAGUCUGUGGUUUCCCCAGCCCAUGAACGUUCUAACUUAAGAUAUUUAUUGGGCCCGACUGACCCAUUUAACAAGCAAUAGUCAACCCAUGUGUGGUCUUAUCAAAAUCCAUAAAGUCAGAAACUUUAGAAGACAUUAAUUUCACCCGCACCUUCUUUUUUCCUUUGUUGAUUCUCAUGCUACAAUCCUCAGAUUCACAAUCAAUCAAUUUGCCCCCAUUUAUGCCCAAUCCAUUCGCACUUCCCAUGUUUAGACCCAGAUUGAUGCUGAUUUGAUUAACAAAUUGAUCCUCCAGAUCUAGCUCAUUAGAGAACUCAUUUCCUAAAUUGGAGGAAACAAAAUUCGUGCCCUUAAUUUCUAUAUCUUCCCGGAGCCACCUACUAUGAUUUGAUACCACCCUUCUAGACAACACUCGGAUGGAAGCAUCCUAUCCCAUAACCACUUCUGAUUCGUCAUUAUGAAUACGUUUCAAGCAAAAACUAUCGAUGUGUCCAAAUUUCCCACACAAAAAAUAAAAAAGAGAGAGUUUUUCAUAUUUGAAUGUAGCAUAAAUAGAAUUUUGUGCACCUAAUAACAAUUUCUUUCGUCGAUGCAAUGGUUGUUGGAUAUCAAUCCAAACCCGAAUUCUCAUAUGAUUUUGAAAGUUCCUUGUGGUUGCCUUCAUAUCAUACUCAAUAAACUGGCUAAUAAAAUUACCAAAUUGUUUAGCCAAAACUUCAGACAUCAACCCAUUCGAUAUAUUAUGUAUUCAUACCUAGAAAUCUACGUAAAGCAAUAGGAUUGAUUUGGGAUCUUCACCUUCCUUCAGUCUAUGGAAAACCAAAAGAUGGCUAUUAAAAGUCUAAGGGUCACCGUGUUCAAUCCUAUUAAUAUCCACAUCAUACAGAAAGUGAAAGAGGAAUCGUUUAUCACUUAAAUCAAAAAUCGCCACGCCACUAAUGGGGUGCCAAACAUUUGCUAUCAUAUUCCUCAUAGCUUGAAAGUUAACAAUACUAGAUGUAAAAAAACUUCCCACCAAACAAAGCUUGUAAGAGGCUAGUCCGUAUCCACUAUCUCCUCUAAUAACAUCCCACCCUUCUUCCUCCCUAUCCUCCAAAGAUAACCUGGUUAAAUAUGCAUCCAUUAAUAGGCCAACUUUAACUAGAAUUGAAUUCUCAAAAACAAAAAAGAAGAAGAAAAAGACAGAAAACACCGCGUGCCACAAAGAGCAGAGGUCCAAUUAACUAUUGGUAUUUUAAAUAAAUGUGUACUCUUCUAAUUUAUACAAGCCUAUUUUUACUUAAAUUCUCUUUAUAUUUUUUCAAAUACGUUGCUAUUAUUUAAAAAAAUUCGAGUUAGAGUUUUAUGAAAACAUUAUUAGAAAAAUUUUAUGUUCGUUUAAAGAUUAACAUAGUUCAAUUCUCGAUUUAAUCAGAUUUAAUGUGAUUAUCAACCAUUAAAAAGUAUAAAAAAAAUCAAUAAUUCAGUCAUGUUUUUCUUUUUAAAAAAAUCUUUCUAGCUUUUGGGGAUUAAAACUCUUCAAACAUUAGGCGUGCAUGAAGCUUGAGGCGACCAUUGAGCUGAGAUGGCGAAUCUGUG